UACGGAGGAUGCGAGCGUUAUCCGGAUUUAUUGGGUUUAAAGGGUGCGUAGGCGGGCUGUUAAGUCAGCGGUCAAAUGUCGGGGCUCAACCCCGGCCUGCCGUUGAAACUGGCGGCCUCGAGUGGGCGAGAAGUAUGCGGAAUGCGUGGUGUAGCGGUGAAAUGCGUAGAUAUCGAGAGGAACACUCGUGACGAAGGCGGGUUCCUGGACAUUAACUGACGCUGAGGCACGAAGGCCAGGGGAGCGAAAGGG
Molecule: ribosomal RNA, 252 nt
Filed under: uncultured bacterium
Lineage: Bacteria
Description: partial 16S ribosomal RNA
Rfam family: Bacterial small subunit ribosomal RNA
Source: RNAcentral